UGAACAGGUAGAGGUCGCAAAUUUCAUUAACCCUAUGGAGUGAAGCAACAUGUAGAAAUAGGUCUAGGGAAAUUAGCCGAAACGGUUUUUCAUUGCUUUGAAUCAUCGUUGGGGCGUAAGUAAACAGCUUGCGUACUGUCUUAGCACAAGCUAAGGUGCGCUAUGUUUUGU
RNAcentral lists this non-coding RNA (171 nucleotides) under Tetragenococcus halophilus. RNAcentral describes it as "Lysine sequence". It matches the Rfam family "Lysine riboswitch aptamer". Rfam says of the family: Riboswitches are metabolite binding domains within certain messenger RNAs that serve as precision sensors for their corresponding targets. Allosteric rearrangement of mRNA structure is mediated by ligand binding, and this results in modulation of gene expression. Lineage: Bacteria; Bacillati; Bacillota; Bacilli; Lactobacillales; Enterococcaceae. The record is from RNAcentral.